GAUGAACGCUUGCGGCGUGCCUAAUACAUGCAAGUCGAGCGAACGGACGAGAAGCUUGCUUUUCUGAUGUUAGCGGCGGACGGGUGAGUAACACGUGGAUAACCUACCUAUAAGACUGGGAUAACUUCGGGAAACCGGAGCUAAUACCGGAUAAUAUUUUGAACCGCAUGGUUCAAAAGUGAAAGACGGUCUUGCUGUCACUUAUAGAUGGAUCCGCGCUGCAUUAGCUAGUUGGUAAGGUAACGGCUUACCAAGGCAACGAUGCAUAGCCGACCUGAGAGGGUGAUCGGCCACACUGGAACUGAGACACGGUCCAGACUCCUACGGGAGGCAGCAGUAGGGAAUCUUCCGCAAUGGGCGAAAGCCUGACGGAGCAACGCCGCGUGAGUGAUGAAGGUCUUCGGAUCGUAAAACUCUGUUAUUAGGGAAGAACAUAUGUGUAAGUAACUGUGCACAUCUUGACGGUACCUAAUCAGAAAGCCACGCCUAACUACGUG
This 497-nucleotide ribosomal RNA is filed under the name uncultured bacterium. RNAcentral describes it as "partial 16S ribosomal RNA". It matches the Rfam family "Bacterial small subunit ribosomal RNA", at positions 28 to 507 of the family's 1533-position model. The record is from RNAcentral.